RNAcentral lists this ribosomal RNA (427 nucleotides) under uncultured bacterium. RNAcentral's name for it is "bacterial SSU rRNA". It matches the Rfam family "Bacterial small subunit ribosomal RNA", at positions 355 to 774 of the family's 1533-position model. The record is from RNAcentral.
UGGGGAAUUUUGGACAAUGGGCGCAAGCCUGAUCCAGCAAUGCCGCGUGCAGGAUGAAGGCCUUCGGGUUGUAAACUGCUUUUGUACGGAACGAAACGGCUCUGGCUAAUACCUGGGGCUAAUGACGGUACCGUAAGAAUAAGCACCGGCUAACUACGUGCCAGCAGCCGCGGUAAUACGAAGGGGGCUAGCGUUGCUCGGAAUUACUGGGCGUAAAGGGAGCGUAGGCGGACAUUUAAGUCAGGGGUGAAAUCCCCGGGCUCAACCUGGGAACUGCCUUUGUGACUGCAUAGCUAGAGUACGGUAGAGGGGGAUGGAAUUCCGCGUGUAGCAGUGAAAUGCGUAGAUAUGCGGAGGAACACCGAUGGCGAAGGCAAUCCCCUGGGCCUGCACUGACGCUCAUGCACGAAAGCGUGGGGAGCAAACA